This 83-nucleotide transfer RNA is filed under the name Sphaerisporangium siamense. RNAcentral's name for it is "tRNA-Arg". Lineage: Bacteria; Bacillati; Actinomycetota; Actinomycetes; Streptosporangiales; Streptosporangiaceae. The record is from RNAcentral.
GCCGAGCUCAGAGGGUGCAUCCCAGCUGCAUAGCCUCCGCUCUCCUAAAGCGGGUGCCGCAGGUUCGAAUCCUGCCGGGGGCA